AUUUGGGUAGUUUAAUUUUAAAAUACAAGCUUGUGGUGCUUGUGAUGUGUAUAUUACUCCAGGUA
RNAcentral lists this transfer RNA (65 nucleotides) under Ceruchus minor. RNAcentral describes it as "tRNA-His". Lineage: Eukaryota; Metazoa; Arthropoda; Insecta; Coleoptera; Lucanidae. The record is from RNAcentral.